Molecule: long non-coding RNA, 621 nt
Filed under: Pogona vitticeps (central bearded dragon)
Lineage: Eukaryota; Metazoa; Chordata; Lepidosauria; Squamata; Agamidae
Description: lncRNA (ENSPVIG00000006633.1)
Source: RNAcentral
CAGAACCACAGAAGCCAAGAGAUCACAGAGUGAGGUUGGGUCUCCAGCUGCCUCGGCGGGGGGCCGGCAAGGGUUAAGGCCAGCGAGUCUGUAGCCAGAAGGUCUGCCUAGCAAGGCCCCCUCCCUGCUUCCGGUGGUCUUCUUCCUCUUCCUCCCCACUCACGUGCUCUUUGGUGCAAAAAAAAAAGUUAAGGCAGGCACGGAGCGGGUGAGUGAAAGGAAGAAAAGAGGUUUUGGAGGGGGUUGAAAAAGUUGGCGCCUGGCAGCCUCUUGCCUCGCCCCUGGCAUUAUUAUCACCAUCAUCCUCAUCAUCCUUCCUUCUCCACCCCCACGUUCAUUUUUGGAGGUACCUGAUUUUGCUUUUUUAUUCUGUUUUAACCGUUGGCUUAUACUCCUGCUUGGAACUUAACACGGAGCUGCGGGAUUUCCACGGGAGCCUUUUGGAAUAAGGCAGGGCCAGAAAUCCCUCCACUGGAUUAUGCUGGACAGGGAACGAAAAGUGGAAUGGCAAGGUGGCAUGAUGGGCCUGCAGCCUUUUUCCAGGGAUUCUCCCACAGGAGAGGAGACGGGAGCACUCCAGCCAGAUCAGGUAGGAGAGGAAGCUUACAAAGAUCUAAGGAA